UACGUAGGCAGCAAGCGUUGUUCGGAGUUACUGGGCGUAAAGGGUGUGUAGGCGGUUGCUUAAGUUUGGUGUGAAAUCUCCCGGCUCAACUGGGAGGGUGCGCCGAAUACUGAGUGACUCGAGUGCGGGAGAGGAAAGUGGAAUUCCAGGUGUAGCGGUGAAAUGCGUAGAUAUCUGGAGGAACACCGGUGGUGUAGACGGCUUUCUGGACCGUAACUGACGCUGAGACGCGAAAGCGUGGGGAGCAAACAGG
Molecule: ribosomal RNA, 253 nt
Filed under: uncultured bacterium
Lineage: Bacteria
Description: partial 16S ribosomal RNA
Rfam family: Bacterial small subunit ribosomal RNA
Source: RNAcentral